This 467-nucleotide ribosomal RNA is filed under the name uncultured bacterium. RNAcentral's name for it is "partial 16S ribosomal RNA". It matches the Rfam family "Bacterial small subunit ribosomal RNA", at positions 29 to 507 of the family's 1533-position model. The record is from RNAcentral.
ACGCACGCUGGCGGCGUGCUUAACACAUGCAAGUCGCACGGAAAGACCCUGCUUUUGUGGGGUGCUCGAGUGGCGAACGGGUGAGUAACACGUGAGUAACCUGCCCUUGACUUUGGGAUAACUUCAGGAAACUGGGGCUAAUACCGGAUAGGAGCUCCUGCUGCAUGGUGGGGGUUGGAAAGUUUCGGCGGUUGGGGAUGGACUCGCGGCUUAUCAGCUUGUUGGUGGGGUAGUGGCUUACCAAGGCUUUGACGGGUAGCCGGCCUGAGAGGGUGACCGGCCACAUUGGGACUGAGAUACGGCCCAGACUCCUACGGGAGGCAGCAGUGGGGAAUAUUGCACAAUGGGCGGAAGCCUGAUGCAGCAACGCCGCGUGCGGGAUGACGGCCUUCGGGUUGUAAACCGCUUUCGCCUGUGACGAAGCGUGAGUGACGGUAAUGGGUAAAGAAGCACCGGCUAACUACGUG